AGAGUUUGAUCCUGGCUCAGGAUGAAACGCUAGCUACAGGCUUAACACAUGCAAGUCGAGGGGUAGCAGGUAGCAAUACCGCUGACGACCGGCGCACGGGUGAGUAACACGUAUCCAACCUUCCCAUAACUCAGGGAUAGCCUUUCGAAAGAAAGAUUAAUACCUGAUAGUACUUUUUCAAGGCAUCUUGAGAAAGUUAAAGAUUUAUUGGUUAUGGAUGGGGAUGCGUUCCAUUAGAUAGUUGGUGAGGUAACGGCUCACCAAGUCUUCGAUGGAUAGGGGUUCUGAGAGGAAGGUCCCCCACAUUGGUACUGAGACACGGACCAAACUCCUACGGGAGGCAGCAGUGAGGAAUAUUGGUCAAUGGGCGAGAGCCUGAACCAGCCAAGUAGCGUGAAGGAAUGAAGGUCCUAUGGAUUGUAAACUUCUUUUAUAGUAGAAUAAAGUGAUCCACGUGUGGAUUUUUGUAUGUAUACUAUGAAUAAGGAUCGGCUAACUCCGUGCCAGCCGCGGC
Molecule: ribosomal RNA, 514 nt
Filed under: uncultured bacterium
Lineage: Bacteria
Description: bacterial SSU rRNA
Rfam family: Bacterial small subunit ribosomal RNA
Source: RNAcentral